Entelurus aequoreus (snake pipefish) is the source of this 229-nucleotide long non-coding RNA. RefSeq lists it as uncharacterized. NCBI's taxonomy places the organism in Eukaryota, Metazoa, Chordata, Actinopteri, Syngnathiformes, Syngnathidae. The record is from RefSeq and is a predicted model, not a curated record. The transcript has 3 exons.
UGUUGGAUGGCAUGAAAUGUUGCCCAGUAUUGUUGGUGACAGUAAUGUUGGAUGUCCUGCUCUUCUCUACACACUCUUAAGGUCAAUUGUUUUGAAAAGCAUGAUGGAGGAAGCUGACCUGCUGAAAGAACGUCUGCAGGCCAUCACGGACAAAAGGAGGGUGCAGGAAGACAUUGCCAGGAAAAGAGGACAGAUCGAGGAAGAAAAACUCAAACUGCAGUACAUCAAG